UAAUACCGGAGGCAGCAGGGCUGAAUCUUGCAUACUGCGCGCAUGACUGAUGCCCCCAUGCCGCAAGUGUCUUUAACCCCUUCUGAUUGUGACGCACUCUGGUACAGAAACAACGGUUAAUUCCUAAUACCUGCCCGCUGUGAUAUUACUGACAUAAGACGCGCCCGCUAUCUCCGUGCCAACAGCCGCCGUAAUACGGAUGGUGCGAUCGAUAUUCAAUCUUACUGCUCAUCCCCCGUACUCCCUUUGUUUGUUAACCCCUAUGUUAUCGCCCCGGUCACUGCCUGUCCACUGCAUUUCGAACUGUUCAAAUAUAUUCUGAUAGACGCCGGUAGAAUUUCGGGCGUAGCUGGCUAAAUGCUGACAGCUCAUGAGGAAUACCGAUGGCGAAAGCAGCCACCUGGGUCCCCACUGACGCUCAUGUAGACAACGUGGCGAGCCAACGGAUAACAUGCUCUGCUGAGACACGCCUAACACAAUAUCUAUUCCACCCUCGGAGCC
Molecule: ribosomal RNA, 501 nt
Filed under: bacterium A4M_VP5_G9
Lineage: Bacteria
Description: bacterial SSU rRNA
Rfam family: Bacterial small subunit ribosomal RNA
Source: RNAcentral